RNAcentral lists this ribosomal RNA (101 nucleotides) under Clostridium tagluense. Its description in RNAcentral is "partial 23S ribosomal RNA". It matches the Rfam family "Bacterial large subunit ribosomal RNA", at positions 2824 to 2925 of the family's 2925-position model. Lineage: Bacteria; Bacillati; Bacillota; Clostridia; Eubacteriales; Clostridiaceae. The record is from RNAcentral.
GUUAGUAAGACUCCUGGAAGAACACCAGGUUGAUAGGUUAGAGGUGUAAGCAUGGUAACAUGUUCAGCUGACUAAUACUAAUAAGUCGAGGGCUUGACCUU